Molecule: long non-coding RNA, 12865 nt
Filed under: Cicer arietinum (chickpea)
Lineage: Eukaryota; Viridiplantae; Streptophyta; Magnoliopsida; Fabales; Fabaceae
Description: long non-coding RNA (CARI_LNC000447)
Source: RNAcentral
AGAAUAUUAACUAACUCGCUACUAGUUGUAAUUAUUUUAUUAUAUUAGUAAUGGAGUUGAACAGAAAGUGAUAAGAAUACUUGCUUUGAUCGAGAAGGGGAAGUGACGGAACCGUUGGAGGAAACAGUUGUGUCAGCGGAAGUUGCGGCGGAGAGGGUGAGUUUGUUGCGGCGGGGAGUGGAUGUUGUUGGGAAGAAGAGAGUGGUCGAAUUUGGUUGAAGUGAAAAUGGAGAAAGAGAGUGAGAAUGAGAGAAUUUGAAGGUAUGAAUUGGAGUUAGUGUGGCGGCCAUAGCUAGAAAUGCAAAGAAGCAAAUUGAAAUGAAAUAUCAGUGAGUUGGUGUGGAAGCUUUUAGUGUAUUUUUCAGUGGCUUGUUCUUGGCACCUAAAUUUUUUACCUCCUCUGUUGCUUUCUAAAUUUUAAUUUUUAAUAUUGAAACCAAAUGAGAUUCGUCGUACUUUGUAUUUUUUAACAUAAAAGUGGCUGAUUAAUUUUUUGGAGAAUAUCUUUCUUAUUUUGUUUCUAGAAUUUCUAUGUUACAUUAAAUUCAAUGUAUCGGCACAUUUAAUCUUAAAAUUAAUAACUAAAUAGUUUUUAAAUUUAAUGUAUCCGCAUAUUUAAAUCUUUAAGUUAAUAAUUGAAUACUAUUUCAUAUUUUUUUUAAAUUAUAAUAACUAAAUAUUAUUUAUUAAAAGUGUCAAUGAAACAUAUAUAUUUUAAUUUUUUUUGAAUUUUAUUAUUUAUAAUAGUGAAUAUUAAAUAUUUUUUUGAUAAAAUGUAAAAAAUUAGUAUUAUUUAUUUACUUUGGUAUGUAGAAGGGAUAAAAAAAACUAGUAUAAUGUUUAUAAAUAAUAAAAUGAUGUUUUUUUCUUAUAAAAUAUUAAUUCCUAAAAUACAAAAGUCAAUAAAUAACUAUUUAAUUCAUAAAAUUGGUCAUUAAAGUUGUAGUUUAAAAAAUAAUGUAUCAAAAAAUUUCAAUUUGUGAAUGUACCAUAGAAGUUUUUUUAUAAUGUUUUUUAGCUGAACAACUCUCUCUAAUUAUAAAUUAUCAUUGUAUUUUUCUCAUAUAUUAAAAAAAUUAAUUAAUAAUUUUAAUGGGUCAAUUUAACAUAUAGAUAUUAUUAGAAUAUUAUUUAUACAUUGAUGCAUUUAAUUUUACUUUUCAUUUUUUAAAAUAAAUUAUAAGUAUAAGUAAAUGAUAUAUUUGGAAAAAAAAAUGCACUUAAUUUGACUUUUUUUUUCCAGCAUUAUAGAAAUAGUCACCAACAAAGAUUUAUAAAUCAAUAUUUUUCAUCCAAAAUAUUUUAUUCAAAUGUUCUAUUCCAUAGUUUAAACAUGAAAAAAUAUUUAAACUUUAUCAUAACAUGUUUUUGUGUAAAAUAUUAGUCUUAGUGUAAUAUAUUUUAACUCAUACUUUAUUUUAUUUUUAAGACAGAGCCAACCCAAAACACUGUGAAAGAUUAAUGCAAAUUUAAAAUAUGAGGUGUUUCAGAGUCUAUAAUAGUAUUUUACAAAACAUAUUAAAUUUUUUAUGAAAAUUAUUUUUCUGACAUCAAGUUUAUUAAAUUUUAAAAUAUGAGACCUUUUUUAUUAACUAUAACAAAAUUUUGAAGGCUUUUUUAUCAAAUAAAAAUUUAUUUACUUUUAAAAAUAUAAAACAGUUGUAUAAAACAAGCUACGCCAUUUUAAGAUGUCCCCUGUUUUACAAAACACCAAUUCGGUCGGAAAACAUUUUAUGUGGUUUUCCUAUGUUACAACUUCCUUACCAAUUCGGUCAAAAAAACAUUUUAUGUGGUUUUCCCAUGUUACAACUUCCUUACUAAUUUGGUCAGAAAACAUUUUAUGUGGUUUUUCCAUGUUACAACUUCCUUACCAAUUCGGUCUUUUGUAUAGAAAACAACAAGCUGUAAUUUUAAGAUGCCCCUGUAUAGAAAACAGCCAUUUCUUUAAGAUGUCUUUUAUAACUUUUUUGGCAAGACAGCAAGAUAAAUCAAUAAUUAAAGCAAAUUAAUUUUUAAUAUAUUAUAUCAACUAUUGAUUUACUAUUAAUGAUUAAUAUGAUUCACUUUAUUAUCUAAAACGAAUUAUGUUUAAUUAGACACAUUAUAACCUAUUUAGCAGGUUGCGAAAAAGGCGGUCUGUCAUUUUAAUGGACAAAUUUUUAUGAAAACGAAGGAAAGAAGACUGUAGAUUUUUUCUACACUGUGAAAAUAUUGUUUUUAUCUUUUAAAAUAUGUAUUGAUUUUAAUUUGUUUAUAAGAUGUAAUACUCUUUUAGACAAAAAAAAAUGUGAUACUAUAAAAAGCGAAUUUUUGUGAUAGGAAGAUAGAUAAAAUAACAAUUAUAGAUGGUGCAUUUUUUGAAAACAUAAAGCAAAUUUUGUAAUAUUUGUAUAUUUUAAAAAAUAUGGAUAAUUAUUUACUAUAAAAAUUUAUUACAAAAAAUUAUUUGCUAACAUAAUAGACAGACCUUAUUUCUAAAAAAGUUUUUCAUUAUUCAACCCACUUUAUAUAAAUGUAUUCAAAAUAUAAAUCAUUCUAUAUAACUAAAAUUAAUUUUUGUCCUUUGACCUAUUAAAGAAAGAAUAAAAAAAAAAGAAUAAAAAGGUAAAUUCUAUUAAAGAAAGCACAAGGUUUUUAUUGGAAAUAGUAAUUAUCAUAAAAAAAAAUUAAUUUGUGCAUAUUUAAAAAAAAGACCUAAAAAUAAAAUAAAAUAAAAUAAAAGAUCAAAGCUGUUAUAAAUAAAUAAGAUAUUAUAUUUGUUCUAAAUUAUAUGGUACUUUGGUUAUUUCACACGAACUAAUAAAUAUAAUUAAUUUUAUAUGAAAAUAAAAAAUUAUGGGUUAUUUUACAAAAUUAAUUUUACAGUGAUAUAAAAAAGAUAAAUUAAUAGAAUUUGGAGAAGAGCGAAUAAUAAUUAGUAAAGGAUAGGAUAAGAAAAGAAACCAUAACGUUUAAUUGAUAUAAGACAUGUAAUUUAUGAUUUUUUUGGGUGUGCAAAGUGAGAUAUAAUUUAAGAUGGAGUAGUAAUAAUUAAUAGUAUAAUUUUUCUUUAAUUAAAUAAUUAAAAGUGUUGACUCAAUUACCUUGUCCAACACAUGAAUGUUUGGAGCUUUUUUCUCUACUUAAUCUGUUAAACAUGUUUUCUCUCGUGUGAUGGUGUUGGGCAUUUUAUAUAAUCCUUAUGCAUUCAUCAUCUUUAAUAAUCCUUCAACACUGCAGGUUAACCACCGUGAUGUCCAAUUGGAUAAUAGAGAACAUGUUAUUGCAAGGAGAUCUUGUGAUAAUAAGACAUUCAAUAUUAAAUUUGUAUUAUAAUGAUAUUACAAAUUUAAUGUUAACAAAAGUUGAUGCUUGUUAAAAAGUUAUUACCUAGUGAGGCCUGUGGUUUUUUGCAAUCAUCCUCCAUAAAAAAGGUAUACCAAAAAGCUAAGAUAAUUUCAUAUCUUGAACUUGAAAAAUUAAUAAUAUUUUGAGCAUUGAUAUAUAUUAUAUAAUCAAUUAUAAAUCACCAUCUUUGGUUUUUUACACGGCUUUUGGUUCUUAUUAAUUAAUUUUCUGCAAAAUUUAAUAUUUAGUUCUCCCCUCCCCUCAAAGCUAAAAUUAGUUUGAUCUUGUUUAGGAUGUAUUGGAUAUUUAAUUUUUGUUUUUGAAGAUUCUUUUUGUUGCUUUUACAAAGUUUUUGAAUUUCACCGUCUUUCUAUUCCAGAAGCCAAUAGCUGUAUGGCUGAAAGUUUGUGAAUAAAUUGAACUUCAUUGUUCUUUACUCAACCAUAUUUUCUUCAUAUGAAUAAUUUAUACCUGGUCUGGCCUUGCAGUCGGGUUUGGAGAUUUAUAGAACAUAGAACAUUCAUCAUAUUCUCUUGAUGUAUGUGGUUAAUUGGUUAUUUUCCUGAUUUUUGUAUUCUUAACGUGGUGAAUUUGGACAGGUUAUUGACCUCAGUGUCACAGUGUGGAUCUUAGUGCCGCCGGUGCCGCAGAAGAGUAAAGAAAGCAGGGUGAUUUCCUUUGUGUUUGUUAUGUUGCUGAUGGAGUCCAUACAUUGGCUUGACGUUGUAUGUUAUUAGUUUAUAAUAAAUUAUAAAAUGAUAUAAAUUGUUUUGUUUUGGAAACAGAGUCUGAAUCUAAUAGAAAAUAUGUUUUGAGGGGAAACAUUUUCUCAUCCAAAUAAUACUCGAUUGUGUGUACUACAUUUGUUAUAUCUAGACAUGUAUGUAUGAUGUGCGCUGCACUGGUUUUAGUUUCAGAAUGGAGUUUUAUUUUCAUACUACAAAUUUGCCCGUUUGUUAUAUCAAUGCCCAAGUUUGCAAACGAGACAUGAUAAGUAUUUAUGGGAUCGCUGAAAUUUGAAUUUUUUAGAACGGAUAAAGUAAGAAAAUUAAAUGUCAUUUCAACAAAUUUGUGAUUUGUUAAGUUGUUCACUUUAAAAAAACUAAAUCAAAUAUCACUCUAAAGUCUAUUACAUAUAUAGCCAAUAAUUAAUUAUUAAUAUUAUUCACUUUAUUAUCUAAAACGAUUUGUUCUCAUUAAGCGUGAGAAUAUGUCGGUUCAAACUUUGAAAUGUAUAAGUCUGAUCUACCGUCUAUCAUAAAUUUUAUUUUCGGUCUGGUCUGACCUGAAAGUCUUUUUAAAAACCUAUUUCACAUUAAAACAUUUAAAUAGUAUAUUUUUUUUAAAAAUAGACUAAAUUAAGUCUUUAUAUAUAAGAAAAACUAAUAAACAUAAGAAAAACGAAUAAUAUUAUACUUUUUUUUUUAUCUAUUUAAAUUAAUAAACUUUAAAAAAAAUUGAGUUAAAUAUUUUUGUUAAACAAAUCGGAUUAUACACCACUGACAAACAAUCUGACCUAUUAUGUUCUCGCUUAAGAGAAGUUAUAUAGACACAUUAUGACCCAUUUACCAAGAUGGCGAACACAAAGAUAGUUGUAAUUUUAUUGGAACAAAUUUAUGCAAACGAAAAGAAAGGACUUUUUAGAUUUUGUCUACCUCGUGAAAAUAUUGUUUUUAUCUUUUAAAACAUAUUUUAAUUUGUUAAUAAGAUGCAAUACUCUAAUACAUUAAAAAAAUGUGAUACUCUUAAUGUCAAUUUUUGUUAUAGAAAGAAUAUAAAAUGUCAAUUAUAGAUGGUGCCUUUUUCAAAAAAAAAAAUUAAGAAAAUUGUGACAUUUCUACAUUUUCAAAAAUAUAGAUAAUUUUCAAAAAUCUAUUACAAAAAAUUGAUUUCUAACAUAGACCUUAUUUCUAACAAUAAUUUUCAUUUUAAUUUUUCUUGUAUGAAGUGGUUGGGAUUUUGACAAAAAAAAAUGUAAUUGAGAUGACAUUAAGUUCUAGAUUUUCAUUUCUUAAUGUUGAUAGAGAAGAUGAAAACUAACUAAAGACAAUGUAUUUACAAAAACAUUUAAAACAACAAUGUUUUAAAUUUUUUCUUCAUAAUUUAAAAAAAAAAAUUUAGUGUAUAUUUUGUUUCAUUUUUAAAUGCCUCGAAUUGAUUUUUGAUGCUUAAAAUUGAUUUUGACAUUUUUAAAUUUUCUCAUUUGAUUUUACAUUUAAAAUUAAUUAUAAUAUAAUUAGAAUUUGUAACUUUCGACUCUAAAUAUAAAUUUAAACUACUAUUAUUCAACUUUACGCAAACGUAUUCAAAAUAUAAUUCACUAUAUUCAGCUCAUUUAUAACUAAAAUUAAUUUUACAAAACCAAUUUUUCCUAUAACCUAAGACACUUGAUGUAUUUUUAAAAUAAAUUUUCAAAAACUUGCACAAUUUUCUUUAAUGUUUAUUUUAUUAGUAAACACGGAAAAACGAAAUUCCUUAAAUAAACAAGCCCCAAAGGAAAGGAAGUUGUUGAUUUUGAAAAUUUUUUAAAAAAAAGUCUGAUGUCAGUUUCGAAGCCUAGAUUUGUAUUAGAGUCUAUGAUGCUACAGUGGCCUGGGGUAGAUACUGAUCAUUUGCCAAACAUUAAAACGCAUUUUAAUUUGUAAGGCAAAAAAACUAGCAAGUACAGUAUAAUCAAAGUUGUACAACCCCAAAAAGUGUGCCUUCCUUUGCCCGGACGAAGAGAUUAUAAAGGAAAAGAGUAUCCACGCAGAUACCUGGAGUCCACGCCUGAAUCGCGGACCAGUGCUAUGCGUCCGGUUCGUGCCACCUGAAACAAGAAAGAUUAACGAAUACAAAAAGAAAGCAAAUGCAUCCACUGUGACUCUGAAAUACAUGGAACCAGUUGCAACAAAAUAUCUACCAUAUAGGUGGGAAAGAUUAAUAAAACAGACCUCACAAAUGCCAUAGGGUUCUAACAAUCUCUGCAAUGCAACCAUCUUGUCCAGAUCUCCAGUAAGCUGACAUAAGAGCAUAUUACUUAGUUCCAGAUACAAUUUAAAAAUAUUAAUGGAUCCAAAGUCAGUAAUUUAAUAACUUCAUUUAUAUUUGCAUCAGAAGUUCGGCAUAACUGGAUUCUUGACAUAUAUCUACAUAUUGUUCACCUCAAGGGUUAUUGUAUGAUCGGACACAUCAACAGCUCUAGCCCUGAAAAUGCUGGCAAUAUCAAGGACAUCACGUCGUGCAGCAGCAUUUACAGCAAUCUUUAUUAGCAUCAAUUCUCUCUCAGCAAAUGGCACGUGGGUUAUAUCACGGACCUGGAAAAAUAUCAGUUAAGAUGCACAAGUAUAAAAUGGCCAGUUUUUUUUUAAUAUAUAUGUAUAUAAAAAUGAUCAAAUAUUAUUGUACUAUAUGUAUGAACAAGAUUCUUAAUAAUAAAGUGCAACAGCAAGAUAAAAUGUAUUCUUCAAGUAAGAUAUUUAAUAGCUGUUUGGGUUGACAUUCCUGAAUAAGAUUAAUAGUCAGAGGACUCUCAAAAACUAGUCAGGUUUCAUUAAUAACAGGGUACAAGAUAAAUUUCAAAUUUCUCUUAUUAAAAAGUACGUUCGAAUAUUUAACUGUGACUAAUCAAUUUUGUUACCAUGGGUUGUUAAAUCCUAAUAAAGGUUUCCGGGUUCCAACACACAUUUCCUGUUGUGGCUAGGUGGAUAAACAGAGAAAAAACAAAGAAUUUAAUGUGGUUUGACCUAGACCUAUGUCCAUAGGCAUCAACAAAGGGAAAAGACACAAUCAAUAGAGAUUACAAGGAUUAGCCAUUCCACACUCAAAUCCUAAACCCAACACCUAAAUCCUCACAGCCACUUAGUGUUAGAACUUAACAACAUAAUAGGAUCAUGCCAAGGGAAUGGUAGUAUCAGCAACAAGCCCAGUUCCCGUUCCUCCUCCUGUUUCCCCACAAAUCUCCUUAUAAAAGCUUAGUUGGAUCAGAUUCGUACACUUCUCUGCUUGAGUCACAUGUGGUCGGGCUGAGCCCCCUAUGUACACUUUUGUGCCCACUAUUACAAUGGUGGAGACCGACAUUUAAAAUGCUAGAGAACUCUGCAACCAGUUGUACUAAAAAAUUAUAAAGCUAACAGUUUAUUUAUGGCAUGAUGCAUGUUUUGGGUAGAGAUAUUAAACCUCAUGCAGCUCCACUAACUUAUAGAGCUGCUGCACCAACUUGCUGAUUGACUCAUCUGUACCAGGAACCACAGUUGUAAGCCGAGAAACUCCUUCAACUUCUGAAUGUCCUACAGCUAAACUCUGGAAAGAGAGCACAUUCAAGCAAAUGAAUGAACAGAGAAAUUAAAAUGGUCAGACAUGUCUGUAUGCAAUUUUACACAAACAUCAAAGUGAAAACAACACUGAAGAAGAAAACCUGAAUGUUAUAGCCCCUUCUAGCAAAGACCCCUGUGACACAGUUCAGAACUCCGGGAGCAUCGUUCACGAGCAUGGAUAAAGUGUGUGAUCGAAUUCCGCUUGUCUGAAGGUAUGAUCCCAACGAUCAGAAAAUUACAUGCAAAUCCAAGAAAAUUAUAUGGUAGUGUACGAGCACCAGCUACAUUUUUGGCUCUUUAAAAGCAAAAAAUACAAAAUCGUGAUUUUCAGAAAAUCAAAACCAUGUUAGCUCAACUUAAAUAAAUUUCAGUACAAGAAAAUAAUCACAAAUUGCAGUGCUACUCUAACAAUGAGAAGAAAUUUCACAAAGCAAAACCUUGUAUGUGAAAAACAAAAGCUUCAGCAGUCAAAGACUUUUAAGUUUUACCAAUAAAAACUUAUAAAUGUGUUGAACACGCUCUACUUAUUGAAAGUAGUGCGAAUAUCCAAAAUAAUGUUUACUUCACUUGACACAAUUUCACAAAAAAGAUUUAAUGUUUGGUUACUGUUAGGAUCCUUUCUUUGAUCAACUUGAUCAAGAAAGGAUAACCCUCCAUAUAUUCUAUAUCCUAACAAUUGCUUUGAGCCAACAUUGACUUUUUUUCUAAACCCUCCAUUUGAGUAAAGGUGAUGGCCUAAACACACUUAAACUCUCCAUCUGAGUAAAAAUUGACUUUGAGCCAAACUCACUUUUAAUCAAUGUUCAAAUGCUCAGCCAAACACACACUUAAAAGAAUAACCCUCCUAAGCUAUGAGAAGUUCAACCAGAUAGAGAAAAGAAAUAGAAUGAACCAGCUGGCAUUUCUAAAUCUCUCAGAAGGGCAUCAGAUGCAGGAUCUUAUCCUCCCAUUAGAAUACAAGAUAUGGAACCUUCAUCCUUGGAUAAGACAUGUUCCACAUGUCUUCAGCUAAUUAAUCUUAUUUUAAGUAUUUUUUAUUUUUAAUGGCUAGAAAUAUUACGAAGUGUUUGGAAACUGAAGCUAACAACUUCACGUCAAAAUGACAAACUAUGAGCAUAGUGCACAAGGCUCCUGUCAUGGUAAAUAAUAACUAUACAACUUGACAAUAAAAUUCAAAUGCAAAACAAACAAAAAAUCAAAUAGAAAUGUAAUUUCUGUUUAAUAAAAAAAACUCUACACUCUAAAGGGGAACAUCAAGUAAAAGAACACUAUCAAGAACCUGCAAAUAAGGAUUAUAAUGCAUUAAAAGAAAACAUAAAAGGGAGACAGCUAAGGACAAUGAAGUACUAUAAACCAUCUUACAUCCUCCUCGUUGAGAACACCCCAGUGAGCAUCGAGUACUUGAUUGACUGUAAAACUGUCUGAAGGCUCUAUAGGAUAAACAUCCCCCUUCACACAAGCAAACAUGUCAAAAGAAAAGAGAAGGUCAGAGACUAGAUCGGAAUUUACUGAUGACCAAAUAAAUCAAGUACAUAAGGGACAAAUAACAUUGAACAUGUCGAUAGUGGAAUGCAUUGAAGUCACUGUUAGCAUCAUUCUGUGCAGUAGUUAAAAAUGUAUUCCUCUUUAGUUGGUCAUUGAAAUUUUAUAAAAAAAAAAAAAUAAGAACAGUUGAUGUUAAGCAAAGACAACAAAGAUUCAACAUAAUAUAAAUUGAUACCCUAGUAACCUAGAAAACAUCACUGAAUUUCUACCAAAGACAAGUGGCAAGAAUCAAUAUUGCUUUGAAAUCUGGUACCAAAGGGAAGUUAGAGAGAGGGAGAGAAUGAAAAGCAAUAUAUAAAUAAAGAACAGAGUUAAAAACCACAUACAACCCACAGUCAAUAUGAGUGCUCUGAAGGGUUCUUAGAAAAACAACUGUUGAAAGGCUGCACAGCCAGCACAAGUGCGUGCUAGAAAUCACAACUCAGCUUAAAAUGGCAAUUAGCAGAAUACCAAAGGGAAUACAUAAACAUAGUCCUAUUCCAUUACAAGCUUAAGGAAAAAAUAACAUACAAAGGCAAGACUAGUGUUACUCAGAUGCACAAAAGAAUUGCAUAAACUGAAAACUACCAUAAAUCUCCAGCCUUUGUAUGUUUGACAAAACCUUUCAAACAAAUUAUUAAAAACUGUUCCAAAGUGGGAGGGAUAAAGGAUGGUCAAUUAUAAAGAUCAAUAGCUGAAAUGUCACAAAGUUGAAACUAAGCUCACUUGUGAUUUUUAAAUCUAACAUUUUUUAUAGAUUUGUCAAUUUUUUUUAUUUUUAAGUCAAUAUAUAUUUCAAAUUUGAAGUUGAAGUGUUUGAAAAUACAGGUGAAAAUAAAGGAUGACCGACUACAGAGAUCACGAAAGUUGAAACAAAGCUCACUUGUGAUUUUUAAAUCUAACAUUUUUGAUAGAUUUGUCAAUAUAUUUCAAAUUUGAAGUUGAAGUGUUUGAAAAUACAUGUCAAAAUAAGGAAAUGGUAGGAUUAGAGUAUGUAAGAUCAUACCCCGACAGGCAUAUCAGUUUUGUCAACAGGAUUCACGCUUUUCGAUCCAACAAGGGCAUUAAUAGUUGUUUUUCUUUCAAGGUCUGGAUAUGAAGCAGCUGAAUACCGCCAAAAUGGCGCAGAUGCACCCAUCUUUUCCCUUCUUAAUGCAAUCUAAGUACAGUUACAUCAUCAGAUUAGUAACAUUUGCAGUCUUACAAAUUACAGUACAAUGAAUGAGAAAGGGAACAUGAUAAAAGGAGUUAAUGAAAUUUCUUAGGUACUCAAUUGAGUUUUCUAACCUUUCCAGUUCUAGAUAUUUCUUUAAUUCCAAACUUGCUUAAACUUCUUUGAACUGCAACCAUCUUUCCUGGGUCUCCAGUAACCUGUAACAUACACAGAAUAACUCACCUGAAAUUACCACGUGAUUGUAUCACCAAAUCGUAAAAUGGUAAUGGUGAUGACUGGAUAAUUGUAAGAUGGAAAGGAAAAUAUGAAACAAAACACAUGAGCAAACAUGCUUGAAUAUAUAUACCCAACUCAUAUCAGCACAUUUUUUUAUUCUCGAUGUUAUUUAAAGACUGAUAGGAAAUCGAAAUUCAGAAGCAAAAAUAAAGUAAGGAAAUAGAUCAACUAAUAUAAUAUUGAAUGUAUUUAAUUGAUGAUGAAAGAAAAACUGUAGACGAGAAGAAUCCCAAUCUACCCCAGAGCCAAGCUCCUCAGAGAAGGAGAAAUUUUUUUCUCUGCCUAACCAUAAUGGUUCACUCAAAUGUGCUUGUGUACCCAUCCCAAUUCACUCACUCCACUAUUUAUACUACUAAGACAUACGUCGUCUAAGAAGUCUACCCCACAUUUUAUUUACCAAAUAUCCUUACCACACUCUUUAUUACAUUAUACCCCUUUUUCAUUAUCAGCCUCACUUGGGUCUCUAUCAAAGACAGACAAAAUCUGAUUCAUGAAAAUAAUAAAAGACAACAAAUCAAGAACAAAAGAAUAACAUAAAAACAGCCAGUCCAGCAAGAAUACAGUCAUGUUCCUACCUUAGUAUCCUAACGAUACUUUUUAUCUAUGCGAUGAAAGGAUGACUAUAUUAACACAUAUAGUAUAUUCCCAAGAUGAGUCAUUCACAAUGCAAUUUAUGCCUCCAAUAAUCAAUAAUUACUUUAACAAACAAACAGUGAUAAUUUUCCCCUUUUACAAAUGACACUCAAUUGAUUGUGAGGCCCACAGCCAAUUAACAAUCAUAACCACAGAAGUAAAGACUCUGCCGCUAGAUACCAGAACUUUGAUGGUGCCAACUUAAUGACUUUGGAUCAUGUUCACAUAUAUACCUAGACUAAAUGUGUUAUUAGAACACAAACACAUUUACAUUGCAGAAAUAAAAUUUUAUACAAAUACUAGGAUCUCAGAGCAAACAUUCGCAACAUUCUAUAGCCACACAUAACUUAAUGUCAUAAACUAAAAGAGAAAUCAACAGAAUGAAAUAAGUUUUGGCAAAACAAACAGCCAACAGGCAAAAAAGAUUGAUGAUAGUUCAACUCAUGGAAGCAGUUACAUGAAAAUGCAUAUAGAGCAUACCUUUCAGUUACAAUUAAUUUUAUAGGUUGCAUAAUUUAUAGGAAUGAAAAAGAUGCACCAAAACAUGAUAACUAACAACUACAAAAAAAUUCAAGUAUGACCUCAAUUGUCACGGAAUUUUCUGAGAUGUCCACAAUCUUGCCUCUGAAGGUGUCCACCAACCACUUAAUCUGUAAACUCCCAGCCAAAAGAAAAAGAAAAUAAAUUAAUAAAUAAAUAAAGAGAAGCAAACAAUGAAAUGAACCACACGCCCAAAUCCCAACACCCAAAAAUUACUAAGCAGGUACCUCAGCACGGUUUUGGGGAUCUGCAUUCACCUUUAAGAGCAUCAAUUCACGUUCUACCUGUGGUUCAUUUGAAAGAUCUUCUACCUAGUUCAAAAAUCAAACUCUUCAAUAUUUUCAGCAUUAAACUUUUAUUUAUUCUACAUAAAAUAAGCACAUGCAAAAACGAAAAAGCAAGACAAAAAUAUACAACAGAAUCUCACAUAAACACAGAGAAAGAGAGAAGUAUAAGAGUGAAACCUUCAAAACAUUGACAAGCUUCUGAAGCUGCUCAACAACUUGUUGUAAAACCCUAUUGGUUCCAGAAACAACAAUUGAGAAAAGAGCCCUAUCUUGAUUAAGACCAACAGCUAGUGACUCAAUGUUGUAUCCUCUUCUCGCGAACACUCCAGCAAUCCGAUUAAUCAUUCCACUCUCAUCGCCAACGAACACCGAAAUAGUAUGUCUCCGAACCCUACAUUAUCAUUCACCGUACCUUAUAAUAAUCAUAAUUAAUUAACUAAUCACAAAUCAGAAUAUUAACUAACUCGCUACUAGUUGUAAUUAUUUUAUUACAUUAGUAAUGGAAUUGAACAGAAAGUGAUAAGAAUACUUGCUUUGAUCGAGAAGGGGAAGUGACGGGACCGUUGGAGGAAACGGUUGUGUCAGCAGAAGUUGCGGCGGAGAGGGUGAGUUUGUUGCGGCGGGGAGUGGAUGUUGUUGGGAAGAAGAGAGUGGUUGAAUUUAGUUGAAGUGAAAAUGGAGAAAGAGAGUGAGAAUGGGAGAAUUUGAAGGUAUGAAUUGGAGUUAGUGUGGCGGCCAUAGCGAGAAAUGCAGAGAAGCAAAUUGAAAUGAAAUAUCAGUGAGUGGGGACGGAAGUUUUUAGUGUAUUU